UUCACACAGUAAAUUUAAUAUCGCAUAUGUAUUUAGUACUCUGGCUAGGCACAAUAGAUUUUAUUAAGUCAGUAAUUUCUAUAAAGUCAUUUGCAUAACGCAAACGCUUUUGUAGGCUAUGACUGGGAUGGCGUCAUUUUGUCGCUUUGUGUUUCUGGUCUGGAUUAUCUGCGUUGGACAACUUGGAGCAAUAAGAUCAAAUCUUUUUAUGUUAAAAAAAGAGGCAAAUAUUAAAGUAGUUAGUCAGAAAGAAACAAGUAUAUUUUCAAAAAACGCGCAUGCGCGAUAUUUCUAUGGAGGUAGUCUCUGGAAACCUUCUCAACACCACUAUAUAACUAUUAUAUACCCUUUUUCAGUUUUAUAGCGGUAACUCGAUAGGAUAUAUAAAGGUGUUGAGGAAGUUUUCAGGACUUUGGUUGCACACCUUGAGUGUUAAGGGUUACCAUAGGAACAGUUAUAAAAUGGACCGUUUAGGGCAUAUAAGUGUUAUAUAAUGGUUACCAAUAACUCACGACAACCAUUCUAGAUGCGUUUAGGUUGUAUAAUAUGGUGUUGGGAAGUUUCCUAA
Sitophilus oryzae (rice weevil) is the source of this 568-nucleotide long non-coding RNA. RefSeq lists it as uncharacterized. The transcript has 3 exons. The record is from RefSeq and is a predicted model, not a curated record. NCBI's taxonomy places the organism in Eukaryota, Metazoa, Arthropoda, Insecta, Coleoptera, Curculionidae.